This 722-nucleotide ribosomal RNA is filed under the name Streptococcus salivarius. Its description in RNAcentral is "bacterial SSU rRNA". It matches the Rfam family "Bacterial small subunit ribosomal RNA", at positions 68 to 776 of the family's 1533-position model. The record is from RNAcentral. Lineage: Bacteria; Bacillati; Bacillota; Bacilli; Lactobacillales; Streptococcaceae.
UGAGAGAGGAGCUUGCUCUUCUUGGAUGAGUUGCGAACGGGUGAGUAACGCGUAGGUAACCUGCCUUGUAGCGGGGGAUAACUAUUGGAAACGAUAGCUAAUACCGCAUAACAAUGGAUGACACAUGUCAUUUAUUUGAAAGGGGCAAUUGCUCCACUACAAGAUGGACCUGCGUUGUAUUAGCUAGUAGGUGAGGUAACGGCUCACCUAGGCGACGAUACAUAGCCGACCUGAGAGGGUGAUCGGCCACACUGGGACUGAGACACGGCCCAGACUCCUACGGGAGGCAGCAGUAGGGAAUCUUCGGCAAUGGGGGCAACCCUGACCGAGCAACGCCGCGUGAGUGAAGAAGGUUUUCGGAUCGUAAAGCUCUGUUGUAAGUCAAGAACGAGUGUGAGAGUGGAAAGUUCACACUGUGACGGUAGCUUACCAGAAAGGGACGGCUAACUACGUGCCAGCAGCCGCGGUAAUACGUAGGUCCCGAGCGUUGUCCGGAUUUAUUGGGCGUAAAGCGAGCGCAGGCGGUUUGAUAAGUCUGAAGUUAAAGGCUGUGGCUCAACCAUAGUUCGCUUUGGAAACUGUCAAACUUGAGUGCAGAAGGGGAGAGUGGAAUUCCAUGUGUAGCGGUGAAAUGCGUAGAUAUAUGGAGGAACACCGGUGGCGAAAGCGGCUCUCUGGUCUGUAACUGACGCUGAGGCUCGAAAGCGUGGGGAGCGAACAGG